RNAcentral lists this ribosomal RNA (254 nucleotides) under uncultured bacterium. Its description in RNAcentral is "partial 16S ribosomal RNA". It matches the Rfam family "Bacterial small subunit ribosomal RNA", at positions 524 to 776 of the family's 1533-position model. The record is from RNAcentral.
UACAGAGACUGCAAGCGUUGUUCGGAUUUACUGGGCGUAAAGGGCGCGUAGGCGGCCAGCGCAAGUCAGUCGUGAAAUCUCCGGGCUUAACUCGGAAAGGUCGACUGAUACUGCGGGGCUAGAGUGCGGAGGGGGCAACUGGAAUUCUCGGUGUAGCGGUGAAAUGCGUAGAUAUCGAGGGGAACACCUGCGGCGAAGGCGGGUUGCUGGGCCGACACUGACGCUGAUGCGCGAAAGCCAGGGGAGCGAACGGG